RNAcentral lists this ribosomal RNA (633 nucleotides) under uncultured bacterium. Its description in RNAcentral is "bacterial SSU rRNA". It matches the Rfam family "Bacterial small subunit ribosomal RNA", at positions 102 to 748 of the family's 1533-position model. The record is from RNAcentral.
ACUGGUGAGUAACGUGUAAAGAACUUGCCUCUUAGACUGGGAUAACAAGUGGAAACGCUUGAUAAUACUAGAUAUUAUGAUACUAAGGCAUCUUGGUAACAUGAAAGGAUAAUAUUGCUAAGAGAGAGCUUUGCAUCCUAUUAGCUAGUUGGUGGGGUAAAGGCCUACCAAGGCGAUGAUAGGUAGCCGGCCCGAGAGGGUGAACGGCCACAAGGGGACUGAGAUACGGCCCUUACUCCUACGGGAGGCAGCAGUGGGGAAUAUUGGACAAUGGAGGGAACUCUGAUCCAGCAAUUCUGUGUGCACGAAGAAGGUUUUCGGAUUGUAAAGUGCUUUCAGUAGGGAAGAAGAAAGUGACGGUACCUACAGAAGAAGCGACGGCUAAAUACGUGCCAGCAGCCGCGGUAAUACGUAUGUCGCAAGCGUUAUCCGGAAUUAUUGGGCUUAAAGGGCAUCUAGGCGGUUUUUCAAGUCAGGGGUGAAAACUUAUGGCUCAACUAUAAGCUUGCCUUUGAAACUGAAAGACUAGAGUACUGGAAAGGUGGGUGGAACUACACGAGUAGAGGUGAAAUUCGUAGAUAUGUGUAGGAAUGCCGAUGAUGAAGAUAACUCACUGGACAGAAACUGACGCUG